GACGAACGCUGGCGGCGUGCCUAACACAUGCAAGUCGAACGGAGAUAUGAUUUCGGUUGUAUCUUAGUGGCGAACGGGUGAGUAACGCGUGAGCAACCUGACUCUUAGAGGGGGAUAACACUCGGAAACGGGUGCUAAUACCGCAUAAGACCACGACAUGGCAUCAUGACGAGGUCAAAGGAGCAAUCCGCUGAGAGAGGGGCUCGCGUCCCAUUAGAUAGAUGGCGGGGUAACGGCCCACCAUGUCAACGAUGGGUAGCCGAGCUGAGAGGCUGAUCGGCCACACUGGAACUGAGACACGGUCCAGACUCCUACGGGAGGCAGCAGUGGGGAAUAUUGGGCAAUGGGCGCAAGCCUGACCCAGCAACGCCGCGUGAGGGAAGAAGGCUUUCGGGUUGUAAACCUCUGUCCUUGGUGACGAAAAAAAUGACGGUAGCCAAGGAGGAAGCCCCGGUAACUACGUG
Molecule: ribosomal RNA, 464 nt
Filed under: uncultured bacterium
Lineage: Bacteria
Description: bacterial SSU rRNA
Rfam family: Bacterial small subunit ribosomal RNA
Source: RNAcentral